Molecule: ribosomal RNA, 479 nt
Filed under: uncultured bacterium
Lineage: Bacteria
Description: partial 16S ribosomal RNA
Rfam family: Bacterial small subunit ribosomal RNA
Source: RNAcentral
AACGAACGCUUGCGGCGCGCCUAAUACAUGCAAGUCGAGCGAGAAAGUAUCUUCGGAUGCGAGUACAGCGGCGGACGGGUGAGGAACACGUAGAUAAUCUGCCUUAGAGUGGGGGAUAACUAAUCGAAAGAUUAGCUAAUACCGCAUAAGACCACAGGGGCUUCGGCUCUAGGGGUUAAAGGAGCAAUUCGCUCUAAGAUGAGUCUGCGUCCGAUUAGCUCGUUGGUGAGGUAAUGGCUCACCAAGGCAACGAUCGGUAACUGUUCUGAGAGGAUGACCAGUAACACUGGAACUGAGACACGGUCCAAUCUCCUACGGGAGGCAGCAGUAGGGAAUAUUGCACAAUGGAGGAAACUCUGAUGCAGCGACGCCGCGUGAGCGAUGAAGGUCUUCGGGUUGUAAAACUCUGUGAUAAGGGAAGAUGAUGACGGUACCUUAUCAGAAAAGACCGGCUAACUUCGUGCCAGCAGCCGCCGUAA